CACGUAGGGUGCGAGCGUUGUCCGGAAUUAUUGGGCGUAAAGAGCUCGUAGGUGGUUUGUUACGUCUGCUGUGAAAACCUAGGGCUUAACCCUGGGCUUGCAGUGGAUACGGGCAGACUAGAGGUAGGUAGGGGAGAAUGGAAUUCCUGGUGUAGCGGUGAAAUGCGCAGAUAUCAGGAGGAACACCGGUGGCGAAGGCGGGACUCUGGGCCGAUACUGACGCUGAGGAGCGAAAGCGUGGGGAGCGAACAGG
This 253-nucleotide ribosomal RNA is filed under the name uncultured bacterium. RNAcentral describes it as "partial 16S ribosomal RNA". It matches the Rfam family "Bacterial small subunit ribosomal RNA", at positions 524 to 776 of the family's 1533-position model. The record is from RNAcentral.